GGCGAACGGGUGAGUAACACGUGAGCAACCUGCCCCAAGCUUUGGGAUAACCCUCGGAAACGGGGGCUAAUACCGAAUAUUACUUCUGGCCGCAUGGCUGGUGGUGGAAAGUUUUUCGGCUUGGGAUGGGCUCGCGGCCUAUCAGCUUGUUGGUGGGGUGAUGGCCUACCAAGGCGACGACGGGUAGCCGGCCUGAGAGGGCGACCGGCCACACUGGGACUGAGACACGGCCCAGACUCCUACGGGAGGCAGCAGUGGGGAAUAUUGCACAAUGGGCGGAAGCCUGAUGCAGCGACGCCGCGUGAGGGAUGACGGCCUUCGGGUUGUAAACCUCUUUCAGCAGGGACGAAGCGAGAGUGACGGUACCUGCAGAAGAAGCACCGGCCAACUACGUGCCAGCAGCCGCGGUAAGACGUAGGGUGCGAGCGUUGUCCGGAUUUAUUGGGCGUAAAGAGCUCGUAGGCGGCUUGUCGCGUCGACCGUGAAAACUUGGGGCUCAACCCCAAGCCUGCGGUCGAUACGGGCAGGCUAGAGUUCGGUAGGGGAGACUGGAAUUCCUGGUGUAGCGGUGAAAUGCGCAGAUAUCAGGAGGAACACCGGUGGCGAAGGCGGGUCUCUGGGCCGAUACUGACGCUGAGGAGCGAAAGCGUGGGGAGCGAACAGGAUUAGAUACCCUGGUAGUCCACGCUGUAAACGUUGGGCGCUAGGGUGUGGGGGGCCUCUCCGGUUCCCUGUGCCGCAGCUAACGCA
Molecule: ribosomal RNA, 750 nt
Filed under: Micromonospora saelicesensis
Lineage: Bacteria; Bacillati; Actinomycetota; Actinomycetes; Micromonosporales; Micromonosporaceae
Description: bacterial SSU rRNA
Rfam family: Bacterial small subunit ribosomal RNA
Source: RNAcentral